This 183-nucleotide ribosomal RNA is filed under the name uncultured bacterium. RNAcentral describes it as "partial 16S ribosomal RNA". It matches the Rfam family "Bacterial small subunit ribosomal RNA", at positions 1318 to 1500 of the family's 1533-position model. The record is from RNAcentral.
ACAUGAAGCUGGAAUCGCUAGUAAUCGCGAAUCAGAAUGUCGCGGUGAAUACGUUCCCGGGUCUUGUACACACCGCCCGUCACACCAUGGGAGUCGGAAAUGCCCGAAGUCUGUGACCUAACCGUAAGGAAGGAGCAGCCGAAGGCAGGUCGGAUGACUGGGGUGAAGUCGUAACAAGGUAAC